GAUGAACGCUAGCUACAGGCUUAACACAUGCAAGUCGAGGGGAAACGGCAUUUAGUGCUUGCACCGAAUGGACGUCGACCGGCGCACGGGUGAGUAACGCGUAUCCAACCUUCCCAUAACUAAGGAAUAACCUGCCGAAAGGCAGACUAAUACCUUAUGUAAUCCUUUGAUGGCAUCAGAUUAGGAUAAAAGAUUUAUCGGUUAUGGAUGGGGAUGCGUCUGAUUAGCUUGUUGGCGGGGUAACGGCCCACCAAGGCAACGAUCAGUAGGGGUUCUGAGAGGAAGGUCCCCCACAUUGGAACUGAGACACGGUCCAAACUCCUACGGGAGGCAGCAGUGAGGAAUAUUGGUCAAUGGACGGAAGUCUGAACCAGCCAAGUAGCGUGCAGGAAGACGGCCCUAUGGGUUGUAAACUGCUUUUGUAUGGGGAUAAAGUCAAUCACGUGUGAUUGUUUGCAGGUACCAUACGAAUAAGGACCGGCUAAUUCCGUGCCAGCAGCCGCGGUAAUACGGAAGGUUCGGGCGUUAUCCGGAUUUAUUGGGUUUAAAGGGAGCGUAGGCCGGAGAUUAAGUGUGUUGUGAAAUGUAGACGCUCAACGUCUGACUUGCAGCGCAUACUGGUUUCCUUGAGUACGCACAACGUUGGCGGAAUUCGUCGUGUAGCGGUGAAAUGCUUAGAUAUGACGAAGAACUCCGAUUGCGAAGGCAGCUGACGGGAGCGCAACUGACGCUGAAGCUCGAAGGUGCGGGUAUCGAACAGG
This 761-nucleotide ribosomal RNA is filed under the name Prevotella melaninogenica. RNAcentral describes it as "bacterial SSU rRNA". It matches the Rfam family "Bacterial small subunit ribosomal RNA", at positions 28 to 776 of the family's 1533-position model. The record is from RNAcentral. Lineage: Bacteria; Pseudomonadati; Bacteroidota; Bacteroidia; Bacteroidales; Prevotellaceae.